This is an RNA transcript of Diorhabda sublineata, 4527 nucleotides long. It is a transcript of the gene named NADPH-dependent diflavin oxidoreductase 1, with no coding region annotated. The record is from RefSeq and is a predicted model, not a curated record. NCBI's taxonomy places the organism in Eukaryota, Metazoa, Arthropoda, Insecta, Coleoptera, Chrysomelidae. The transcript is spliced from 7 exons.
CUUGUAUUCCUGCUAUACUAAUGUGUUUAGUUCGUAUUAUUAGUAGUUGAAAGAUAGGAUUAAUUAAAAGUCGACGCCACUGCAUUGUCGAAAUUUCUCUUUUUGAUCACCUGUAUUUUUUGACAUAACAUUCGACGUUCUUUUUAAUUACGUACUGGGGCAAAAAUGAUGUUUUCCUUUAAUAUAUGUAACCUUCAUUUUUAUUGUUUCAUCAUUUCUUUAAUGUUGAAUUCAUAUUGAAAAAAAUGUUAUGUAUGUAUAUGUAAUGCUUACGUAACACCUGAGAUCUUAAACCAGUAAAUAUUUUUCAAACAAAUAUGAUUUUAUAGUUAAAGUAAUAUUUCAAUAGGGAAUAUUUUGAAAAACAUAAAUGCGAUGCCUUUUGAAAACGAGAAAAUAACAGUAUUAUAUGGUUCCCAGACUGGAAACGCUCAAGAUUUAGCAGAACGAAUUUGGAGAGAAUCUAAAAGAUAUUAUUUCUUAAGUUCUGUUAAACCCCUAGAUGAUUAUAACAUUGUUAACCUAGUAAAUGAAACAUGUGUUAUAAUUGUUUGCUCUACUACUGGAGAAGGUGACGAACCCGAUAAUAUGAAAAAAUUUUGGAGGUUUUUAUUACGAAAAAAUUUAUCUCCAAAUUCUCUUUCGAAUCUAAGAUUUGCUGUAUUUGGAUUGGGCGAUUCUAGUUAUACUAAGUACAAUUUUGCUGCAAAGAGACUUUAUAAAAGAUUAUUGCAGUUAGGAGCUAAUCAAUUAUUACCAAUAGGAUUAGGAGACGAUCAGCAUGAUUUAGGUUAUGAUGCAGAAGCUGAUCCUUGGAUUGAAAAAUUAUGGAAUACUUUAUUACAAUUGUAUCCACUACCUUCGACGGUUCAACCACUGCCAAAAAAUUAUAAAGUAGAACCAAGAUGGAAGAUAUUUAGUUGUAUUAAUAAUGAAAGUAAACUAAACAUAAGGCGUAAAUCUAUUUAUUCUGUGAUUAAAAAACCAAAUGAUUUCACUGCUAGAAUUAUUCAGAAUAAAAGAAUUACAGCUUCUAAUCAUUUUCAGGAUGUUAGAUUAAUAAAAUUAAAAUGCGAAAAUCAACAAUACUCACCUGGAGAUGUGGUAGUUUUAAGACCAAGAAAUCUAAAGUGGAAAAUACAAGAAUUUUAUGACGUACUUACUACUAAUGGUGUUAAAAUCACACCGGAAACUAAAAUCACCGUCGAACAAAAUGACCCUACCAUGACAGUACCAGAAGUAUUAACCCAAGAAGUUACAUUUGAAGAAUUGUGUUCUGAAUAUUUUGAUCUAAUGUCCAUACCGAGAAGAUACACUUUCCAAAUUUUAGCUCAAUUAACGGAUAGCGAAUUAGAAAAAGAAAAAUGUUUAGAAUUUACAACGGCCGAAGGACAACAAGAUUUAUAUUCCUACACUUACAGACCAAAGAGAAACAUCGUGGAAGUUUUACAAGAUUUUCCACACGCUACUAAAAACUUGAAUCUUGAAAUACUUCUGGAAAUCAUACCACCUAUUAAACCUCGAGAAUUUUCAAUAGCCAGUAGUUGUAGGGCUCAUGUAAAAGAAAUACAUGUUCUAUUAGCCGUGGUUAAAUAUAAAACUAAAUUAGCUAAAGAGAGGUAUGGCUUGGGAUCUAAUUUUUUAGCUGGAUUGAAAGAAGGUGAUGAAAUAACCGGAUGGGUUAAAAAAGGAAGUUUCAAGUUUUCAUCUGAUCCGAAUAUUCCUGUAAUAAUGGUAGGACCAGGAACGGGAGUAGCACCAUUUCGUAGCUAUAUAUUUGAACGAUGCUUAGAGGAUGAUAGCAAUGAAAAAAAUUUAUUUUUAUUCUUUGGCUCCCGUUACAAAGAUAAAGAUUAUUUAUGUAAAGAAGAUUUCGAAGAUAUCAGUAACAAGCAGAAAUUAAAUUUGAUUACAGCUUUUUCUAGAGAACAGGAUGAAAAAGUGUAAGUGAAAUUCCUUGUUGUUUUCAUCAAUAAGCCAGAAAUAAAUGUAUGGUUGACUAAAUUGACUAUUUAGGAUCAAAAUAAUCUAGGAUAGUCAAAUCAGAGAUGAGAGAUGUAGAAAAAAUAUAUAAUGGGUUGUAUUCCAUGAAGAAGAAUGUACUAGGUCUCUUUAAACCAUACUAUAAAUACUAGAUGCACAAUAUGAAUACAAGUCAAACACGAUUGCAGAAAAAAAAAUGGAUUCAAUGGAGGAAAAUAAGGAGACUUGGAAAAACAAAACAGUGACAAUCACAUUAGUCAGAUACUGGAUUUAUCUGAAAAAAAUCUCAAAAUUUGUGAUAAAUUUUUUCAUAUUGCUAUCAAGAAUACAACCUAAAUGGACAAAAUAAAAAAAGUGUCAACCAUAUCAUUCAGCUACUGUCGUUAAACCAAAAGAUUCUCUUGGAAGUCUUGAUAUCAUUGAUCUAUGUCUAAAAUAGGAUGCUGAAGUCAAAGAAGGGACACUCAUACCAGUUAGCUACUAAAAGAGGAUCCCUAUAUAAGCCUUGAAUCCUAUGUAAAAAUCUUUUCCGAUAUCUACUGAAAAAUAUUAUCCAAAAUACAACCAAAAUAAUAAGAGGAUACUCAAGUCGAGAAUAUUUAAUCCCAAUAACAAAUUUAUGAUUUGAACAUUAAGAUGAGCCUGAAAAUAAAUGAAAAAAUAAAAAAAUGUGGACAAUAAGAAAAGUGUCAACUAUAUAACUCAGCUAAUGUAGUAAGGCCAAAAGAUUCUCUCAGAAGCCUUGAUAUCCUUCAUCUAUGUCUACAAUAGGAUGCUUAAAGUCGAAAAAGGAUCCUUAUAGAAGCCUUGAAAUCUAUUUAACAAUCUUUUUAGAUCCCUACUAAGAUUAUGGUUUAGAAGACAACCUGAGGACUAUUAGGCAAAAUUAGGAAAGAAUGUUUGAUGCCACUAUCACUUGUUGAUUGCUUAAGAGAGUAUGUGGAACCAUAAAGAGGAUCUAGAAAGUGAAAAACCAAUCAGAUCCCUACUUAAGAUGAUUUGCCAGAAUAUAUCCUAAAUAGUAAGAGGAUCCUUGAAUCAAGAAAACAUGGUGUCAAUAAUAACUAUCUAUGGUUCAAAAAUCAAGAUGUACCUGAGAAUAAAUAGAAAAAUGAUAAAAAAGUGGCAAAAUAAGAAAAAUUAUAACCAUAGCAAUCAGCUACUAUAGUUAAACUAAAAGAUUACUUCGAAAGACUUGAUAUCCUUGAUCAUUGUUUACAAUAGGAUACUGAAACUCAAAAAAUUACCAAUCUUACUUAUUAGCUACUAAAAUAUUCCCAAAGAAGCCAUAAAGUUUAUUUAGAAGACAAGCAGAGGAUUCAUGAGGUGAAAGGAGAAUAUUCAGUGCCAAUACCACUUGUGUAUCAUUUACCAAAAUAGAUGGGGAAAAGAAGAGGAUGAAGAAAGUUAAAACAGUGAUAACCACACUGAAAUUUAAAAAAAAUCAGCAUAUAAUCCUUAAAAUCUGUAUAACAAUCUGUUUAGGCAUCUAUAGAAAAGUAUUAUAUAGAAUACCAAUUGAAUAGUAUGAGAAUUCUUCAGUUAAUAAGUAGGAGUUGAAUUUAGAUGAAAAAUAACAACUAACAGUGAAGUCACCUGAUCUUGGAUGAUCUUAUUUCCUAAAAGGAAUGUAACUGAUAAAUUUCUGAUGAAAAUUUACAGCAGUACAAUAAAGAGUAUAUUAUUCACUCAUACCAAACUUCAUUUUAAAAUGGUAGCUCAGUACUUAAAUUAUAGGCUCACUUUUCAAUAUGUGAAUAAUUAUUUUCACUUAUGAUUGUAAUAAAAAUUUUCCGGAGACUCCUGGAACUUAUUUUCAGUGCUAUGAUGUGAAGAAUAAUUUUUAGACUGAAAAUGCGCUGGGAUUUUGAAUAAGAUUUUUUUUUAGGUACGUGCAGGAUAAAAUAAAAGAAAAUAAACAUUUGGUGUGGGAUGCCUUAAAACAGAAUGCUCACAUUUUUGUGGCAGGUAGUGCUAAAAACAUGCCCAAAGAUGUCAGAAGGGCUUUUGUUGAGGUUUGUCAAGAAUGUGGUAACAUGGCAGAGGAAGAAGCCAACAUGUAUAUAGGAAAAUUGGAAAAGAAUGGACGUUAUCAAACAGAAUGUUGGUCAUAAUCAUAAAUCGUUUAUUUUGUUUUUUUUUUGGUAUCAAAAACUUGAAAACUUAUAAUUAUCUCACUGGAAAAAUUAUUUCAAAAAUUGGAAAACAGUGGACGUUAUUAAACAGAGGUCAUAGUAAAAAAUGUUUAUUGUUGUGAAUAAAAAUGUUCGUUUUAGUAUUUUGUUUUUUUUUGUAUCAAAAAAUUUGAAAACUUUCAAUUAUCUCACUGUUUGAAGCAAGUGUUUCAAGUGAUUAUAAAAGAAAUCGAAAAUAUGGUGAAAAAUUCUAAUCAUUUAACGCCCAAACAAAAUCAAAAGGUAAAGUCUAGUGAAACAACAAUUUUUGGUCAAUUAUAGCUGAUGUCGGGUAGCCGAAAUAAAGAAAAUCAAUAUUUUUAUACAAAUAGAAUAAGUAAUUCUGAAUUUAAACUGCUUAUUACAAAUA